AUUUAAAUUUCGCUUUUAAAUUUUAAGUAUUUAAUUUUUAAAAUUUAAAUUCAUCGUAUUUAGAAAUAAAACUAUUUCUAAAAUUUCUAUAAUUUUAAUUAAUGCAUAAUUUGAGAAACACUAAAACAUUUAAAAUAGAUUCCUAAAUUAAUGCCUAAUAAUUGCAUAAAUUUGGUUAAUCAAUUAAUUUUCUAAAUUAGUGCUAAUUAAUGCAUAAAUUUAGGAUCUCAAUUAAAAGUUUCUUUAAAUAUUAUAUUAUUUAAUUACCAAACUAACCUUGAAUAAAAUAAUCCUUUUACCUACUAAGUAUUAAAGUUAUAUUUUUACCCUCUAUUAAUCAACGGUUAAGAUAUUUUUUAUUUUUUUUUUAAAAAAAUACCGAAUCAUUGAGAAAGGAUAAAAUAAUAAUUUUAUAAAGAUAAAAAUGUUCAUUAACAGAUUUUAACUCUAUGAUAAAUAGAUUAGAACGUAAGAAGGAUAUUUUCAAUAUUAGCAUUCUAAGAGGGGUAAAUCAGAAAGUCAAAAAUUUUUCGGUAAUACAUAAGCAAUUGUCCAUAUUAUAAAAUAUCUGCUACGUAUUGCA
This 583-nucleotide long non-coding RNA is filed under the name Ananas comosus (pineapple). RNAcentral's name for it is "long non-coding RNA (ACOM_LNC012781)". Lineage: Eukaryota; Viridiplantae; Streptophyta; Magnoliopsida; Poales; Bromeliaceae. The record is from RNAcentral.